GCAGGACAAGGAGGCUGAUUUCACAUGAGGAUCACGAAAUUGGAGGGUUGAAGUCUCGAUUAUGUCUUCUUUGCUUGAUUCUAAGGCUCUAGUGGCAUAACGUUUGGAUGGCAACGGGUCAAACGGGUGAUAAAGCAACAACAUUCCUAAGGGCAAAGGUGAGUGACUCGAGUAUGUUUGGAGUCGCAUUGAUUUAAAUAGUCUUAUUGUUGGCUUAAAUUUCUUAUAGUUAAGGUGGUUUAAUGAAACUUAUUGAAUAUGGUUUAACUUAACAAUAACGUAUUGUUUUAGCGAUGUUUUGGGGGUUUUAAACCAUCAAGAAAGAGUACACAAUGUUAAUGGGUCGAAAUACCCAAAUGCUGAAAAUUCAGCUUAUUUCCAGAUUUUUGCUAGUCUUUAAAAAUUCAUAGAAAAUCAACCGAAUGUCCGUUUGGGGCGUAUUUUAUAUCCACGGAAAGGUCUCGGAGUCACCGUUAAUAAGAAUUUUCGUUUGAAGUGAAGUACUCACUAUAAAUAUGGGAAAAUUCUAAAUUACUACAGCUGCAUAAAGCUGAGUGAAAAACAUAAGUUUUAUAGUUCUUGCAUAAUCUUAGGGAAUUUAUAAGGAACCAAUGGGAUGUGAUUAUGUUGUUUUAAACCUCUAUGUAGCUAUAUAUAUUACAUGAGUUGAAGUGAGUGAUUCCUUGAAUAUGGAUGUGUAUGAUAAAUUAAAAAGUCAUGGGUGUUAUAACCUGCAUGUGCAAAAACAUGUGUUCAUUUAGUAGUUCUUAUGAAUAAAUGAUAUACUUGUGUCAUAAAAACUAUAUAACGUAUUGGAGUAUGUUAUGAAUACAUGUAUGAAUUAUUAAGAGUAUGUUAGAUAAUAAUGAUUGUUGAUAAUCGUAUAUAUUGUCUAAUGAAUUACAACAUAGAUAUGUGGCAGUUUACCAUUUUAUUUAUAUUGACCGAAUCAAUUUGAUAAUGGUUUACUUUGAAGUUUCCUUGAUUCUAUAUUAGCAGGGAUAUAAUGAAGUGGCAUCCAUAUUAGAAUGGAGAAAGUCACAAAAUGCGUGACUCGAGAUAAUGAAGUGGUGGCUCGAUAUUGUUUCGUUGGGCAUUAUGAGCAUUGAAUACUCCGUUAUGUUAUGUUUGGUACAAAAUCAUAUUAUGAGUCCUCACUUAACAAAAGCUAAUAUUUUGGUGUUUUCAAUGUAGGUGAUAAGUCAUGAAAAUCAACGGGGUGACUUGAACCAGAAUCAUGAAAGAAGAAAACAUCUCACAAGUCAUUCACCAAUAAUCCGGUUCAAUCUAUAUAUUAGUCAUAAUUAUGCGUACAGUAGGAAUAUAUAAUUUCUCGGUUGAGGUUAAUAAUAUGGUAAUGUUAUAUGACAGAUUCGGGUGGUAGGAAGGCGAAAGUGAUCAAGUUUUUAAAGCGGGUCAACGAUGUGAAGAUUUAGUGACGCCUUGUUCACUAAGUAAUAUGGGUUUUCUUAUUGGGUCAAAUUGACUUAGUUAUUUGCAUUUUAGAGUUUAACUUCAAUGUUUAUUUUAGCCAAGUGCUAGCAUGUCAACGUAGUAGUAGGUUAUAUUUGUUUUAUAAAAACCUUGGUAAAUAAGCAGGUAUUGUU
Molecule: long non-coding RNA, 1607 nt
Filed under: Helianthus annuus (common sunflower)
Lineage: Eukaryota; Viridiplantae; Streptophyta; Magnoliopsida; Asterales; Asteraceae
Description: hypothetical non coding rna
Source: RNAcentral